UAGAUACCCUGUAGUCACGCCCUAAACGAUGUCAACUAGCUGUUGGGCUUCGGGCCUUGUAGCGCAGCUAACGCGUGAAGUUGACCGCCUGGGGAGUACGGUCGCAAGAUUAAAACUCAAAGGAAUUGACGGGGACCCGCACAAGCGGUGGAUGAUGUGGAUUAAUUCGAUGCAACGCGAAAAACCUUACCUACCCUUGACAUGUCUGGAAUCCCGAAGAGAUUUGGGAGUACUCGCAAGAGAACCGGAACACAGGUGCUGCAUGGCUGUCGUCAGCUCGUGUCGUGAGAUGUUGGGUUAAGUCCCGCAACGAGCGCAACCCUUGUCAUUAGUUGCUACGAAAGGGCACUCUAAUGAGACUGCCGGUGACAAACCGGAGGAAGGUGGGGAUGACGUCAAGUCCUCAUGGCCCUUAUGGGUAGGGCUUCACACGUCAUACAAUGGUCGGGACAGAGGGUCGCCAACCCGCGAGGGGGAGCCAAUCCCAGAAACCCGAUCGUAGUCCGGAUCGCAGUCUGCAACUCGACUGCGUGAAGUCGGAAUCGCUAGUAAUCGCGGAUCAGCAUGUCGCGGUGAAUACGUUCCCGGGUCUUGUACACACCGCCCGUCACACCAUGGGAGUGGGUUUUACCAGAAGUAGUUAGCCUAACCGUAAGGAGGGCGAUUACCACGGUAGGAUUCAUGACUGGGGUGAAGUCGUAACAAGGUAGCCGUAUCGGAAGGUGCGGUUGGAUCACCUCCUU
This 743-nucleotide ribosomal RNA is filed under the name uncultured bacterium. RNAcentral's name for it is "bacterial SSU rRNA". It matches the Rfam family "Bacterial small subunit ribosomal RNA", at positions 779 to 1532 of the family's 1533-position model. The record is from RNAcentral.